RNAcentral lists this ribosomal RNA (497 nucleotides) under uncultured bacterium. Its description in RNAcentral is "partial 16S ribosomal RNA". It matches the Rfam family "Bacterial small subunit ribosomal RNA", at positions 28 to 507 of the family's 1533-position model. The record is from RNAcentral.
GAUGAACGCUGGCGGCGUGCCUAAUACAUGCAAGUCGAGCGAACGGACGAGAAGCUUGCUUCUCUGAUGUUAGCGGCGGACGGGUGAGUAACACGUGGAUAACCUACCUAUAAGACUGGGAUAACUUCGGGAAACCGGAGCUAAUACCGGAUGAUAUUUUGAACCGCAUGGUUCAAAAGUGAAAGACGGUCUUGCUGUCACUUAUAGAUGGAUCCGCGCUGCAUUAGCUAGUUGGUAAGGUAACGGCUUACCAAGGCAACGAUGCAUAGCCGACCUGAGAGGGGGAUAGGCCACCCUGGAACUGAGCCAGGGUCCAGACUCCUACGGGAGGCAGCAGUAGGGAAUCUUCCGCAACGGGCGAAAGCAUGACGGAGCAACGCCGCGUGAGUGAUGAAGGUCUUCGGAUCGUAAAACUCUGUUAUUAGGGAAGAACAUAUGUGUAAGGAAAUGUGCACAUCUUGACGGUACCUAAUCAGAAAGCCACGGCUAACUACGUG